RNAcentral lists this ribosomal RNA (924 nucleotides) under Triticum aestivum (bread wheat). Its description in RNAcentral is "partial small subunit ribosomal RNA". The record is from RNAcentral. Lineage: Eukaryota; Viridiplantae; Streptophyta; Magnoliopsida; Poales; Poaceae.
UUGAGGGUGCCCGCGAGACUGUCAACGAGGGGAGUGAGCGCCGGCGCGGAGGCGAGCGGGCCCGCAGCUCGAGCGGCCACGGUGAUCAGCCCUGAGGAGGCCGUGGAGUGGGUCAAGAAGGACCGGAGGCGCCUGCUCCACGUCGUCUACCGCGUCGGCGAUCUUGACAAGACUAUCAAGUUUUAUACGGAGUGCUUAGGGAUGAAGCUGCUGCGGAGAAGGGACAUCCCGGAGGAGAGGUACACCAACGCCUUUCUUGGGUACGGACCAGAGGACUCGCAUUUUGUUGUGGAGCUCACUUACAACUAUGGUGUCGAAAGUUACGAUAUUGGGUCUGGUUUUGGUCAUUUUGGAAUUGCUGUUGAGGAUGUCGAAAAAACAGUGGAACUUAUUAAAGCAAAGGGAGGAACAGUAACAAGGGAACCAGGUCCGGUAAAAGGUGGAAAGUCAGUCAUUGCCUUCAUUGAAGAUCCUGAUGGUUACAAAUUCGAGCUUAUAGAAAGAGGUCCCACACCUGAGCCUUUGUGCCAAGUAAUGCUUCGAGUGGGAGAUCUUGACCGUGCUAUAAGUUUCUAUGAGAAGGCAUUUGGUAUGGAACUUCUUCGCAGGAAAGACAAUCCUCAAUACAAGUAUACCAUUGCUAUGAUGGGAUAUGGCCCUGAAGACAAACAUGCUGUACUGGAGUUGACAUACAAUUAUGGUGUCAAGGAAUAUGAUAAAGGAAAUGCUUAUGCACAGAUUGCUAUUGGUACUGAUGAUGUCUACAAGACCGCGGAAGUCGUUAGACAAAACGGGGGACAAAUAACUCGUGAACCUGGUCCAUUACCUGGCAUUAGUACCAAGAUAACUGCCUGCACAGAUCCAGAUGGCUGGAAAUCAGUAUUUGUUGACAAUCUAGAUUUUCUCAAGGAGUUGGAAGAAUGA